Peromyscus maniculatus bairdii (prairie deer mouse) is the source of this 414-nucleotide non-coding RNA. NCBI's taxonomy places the organism in Eukaryota, Metazoa, Chordata, Mammalia, Rodentia, Cricetidae. The record is from RefSeq and is a predicted model, not a curated record.
GUCAUGGCCGCACCCAUACUCCAAUGACACGGAAGCCACCAUCAAAGUGCAGCAGUUCCAUACAGCCACGCAAGGCCUGCGGAAUGUGUUACAGUGAAAACCCAAGACUGUCUUAUAUUGCUAGGGCAUUUAUUUACUUAUGAUCUAGUUCUUCCCAUUGAAAACAGACUACAGGAGUGAUGAUUUGGAGAACACAGUUUAUCAUCAAAGAUGCAGCUCGAGUCUCCAAAGAAGGCUCAGCCAUCCAUCACCAUGGGCAAAAUUAUAGUAAACGACAUCAAGGAUGAACUGCUCGCUGUGUAAGUGUUUGUUUAUGGAUGAGAACUUUUCUGCACUGGCUACCUUUGCAUGAAUUCUGUCCUUCAUGAGGAAUUGUACGGUCAGCAUUAGAAGAGUCUUGUGUGAAGAGCUGAC